RNAcentral lists this ribosomal RNA (253 nucleotides) under uncultured bacterium. Its description in RNAcentral is "partial 16S ribosomal RNA". It matches the Rfam family "Bacterial small subunit ribosomal RNA", at positions 524 to 776 of the family's 1533-position model. The record is from RNAcentral.
UACAGAGGGUGCAAACGUUGUUCGGAAUUACUGGGCGUAAAGCGCGUGUAGGCGGCUAUGCAAGUCGGGCGUGAAAUCCCACGGCUCAACCGUGGAAGUGCACUCGAAACUGCGUAGCUAGAGUCCUGGAGAGGAAGGUGGAAUGCUUGGUGUAGAGGUGAAAUUCGUAGAUAUCAAGCGGAACACCGGUGGCGAAGGCGGCCUUCUGGACAGUGACUGACGCUGAGACGCGAAAGCGUGGGGAGCAAACAGG